AAACUAAUUAUUUGCGUUUUGAAAACGCAACUAGGGUUUUUGACCCAUAGUUUU
This 54-nucleotide transfer RNA is filed under the name Baylisascaris procyonis (raccoon roundworm). RNAcentral describes it as "tRNA-Ser". The record is from RNAcentral. Lineage: Eukaryota; Metazoa; Nematoda; Chromadorea; Rhabditida; Ascarididae.